Molecule: long non-coding RNA, 3754 nt
Filed under: Homo sapiens (human)
Lineage: Eukaryota; Metazoa; Chordata; Mammalia; Primates; Hominidae
Description: HSALNT0102208
Source: RNAcentral
CUCCAGCAUUGUGGUCCUUGGGCCCCUCCGCAUUCCACCCUGGUGUACAGGACCCAAUGGUGUCACAUGCCAUUCUUCUGAUUUUCAUGAAUAUCCUCUAAAAGGCAGCUAAGCACUCGCUGUCUUCUUCCUUUUGCCUCAUCAAGCACGGGGGACGCUGGAAGGAAGAGUAUUUGUACAGUUGAGCCGAAAUGCCUGUUCUAACAAAGAGAGCCUGGGUGGGACUGCCAAGAUGAAUAGACAUAAUCCUCGAUCUAACCACUUCACAGUUUAUCAUCGGAGUCAAGUUUGCAGAUAAACAAUUGCCAUGCAACUUUCAAGAAAAUGGUGCCUGAGAUGAGCAAGGUCAGCAGACAAGAAGUGAGGUCAAUGUCAGGUUUCCAUGCCAGCAGCGGGAACUCUGGAUACAGUGGAGAGUCACAGCUGGUCAAACCCUGAACCGCUUGCUCCUUGAAAUGGCCAGAGAGGCCCAUCCCAGAGCCAUCUCAUCAUCUCUCCUCAGACAGGAAACCGAGAAGGAAAACAAUCAGCUCUGUUCUCUCUGGGCCGAGGGAGUGAGCUGUAAUGAGGGAGCACAGGAACGCAUUGGGCGCCCUCAGACCUGAACACACAGGUUAGCACCACCUGCCUGGCUGACCUGGCUCACAGGUGCGCGGUUGCCAGUUGAGAAUAACUCAUCCAGGGUUGUUGAAUGGUGGAGGAUCUUCCAAAAUCAGCAGCUAGGAGGUCGAGAACCCUUCAUGCCAUACUAAGAAGUUUCAUGCUAGGCAAAGAAGAGUGACAAGGUAUUUCAACAGGUGAAUGAUAGGUACACAAAGAAGGAUUACCACAGGAAAUCCAGAGAGGCUUUAGAAGACGAGCUUGCGUUGAGAUAGAAGCCGGAAGCCCACUUAGCCAACUGCCUCCAUGGGACUUGGCAUGAGGCAGGCUUAUGACAGUAAAUGCUACACUGCCCUCAGUGAAAAAGAGAAUUUGGCAUUCAUUCUUCUGAACCCGCCAUCCCUCAGCCUUGGCGCCUGGGAAUUCUGCGAAUCGUUGCCUGUGGCAGUGACACUGAUUUGUAUCUGGGUAUGAACUUAAAUGAAAACAUGAAUUGAACUCAUUACUUGAGGAAGGAAACACUGCCAAAUUUAACAGGAUGAAAUUCCAGCAGGGUGUAAGGUUUUAUGGGGCUACAGUGGAAUAUCUCAUAGAAAGGUUUCCAGUUCAUAAAACACUUUCAAAACAUGCUCGGCCCUUUUAAGUUGAAGGGACAUUAUCAUUUCUAUCUAUGGCAUUUCUCUGCAAAUUGAACUCAAAUAUCCUUUGGGCUGACUACACAGAGAACAGAAGAAAGAAGUGGAAGAAACUUGGACUGAAGAUUGCCUCCCUGAAAAGGUUUUCUUCAGGCAGAAUUAGGUGAGAACAAAUGACAUCAGAAAGUAGCAUGUCAGUAUACUGCUGCCAGCUCCAUAUGGUUCAGCUUGUUUUCACAGGUAUUUAAUUAAUUCCACAAACAUAUAUUGAGUAUCAGAUGUGGGAUCCUGUUCAACACAUUUGGGGUACAGUAGUCAAUUAGUCUACUCUCAUGGCACAUACAUGCUGGAAGGAGAGAAAAACAAUAAAUAAAUGAACAAAAGAUGCAGUAUCAGGUAGUGAUCAUUGCUAUCAAGAAAAAUAAAGCAAGAGAAAAUGGGAUAGAAGGUGUCAGGGGUGCGGGGUGACAUUUUACAUAGUGUGUUUGGCAAAGGCAAUUCUCAGGUGGUGACAUUUGAACAGAAGCUUGAAUGAAGUGACCUACAUGUUGAAUCCAGAAAGCUAAUUUUAUAUAUAUAUAUUUUUGGAAGGGGGCAGGAGAUAAUAAGCUAGUAAAAGGGUUGGGAAAUUAUUUUGAUUCAAGGAUGCCCAGUUUAAAAAACUGUAAGAGACAGCCCCUCUUUUUCUCCCAGUAUAGCGCUUUCGGUGGCCAUUUGAAUAGAGCUCUGCAUGUUUCCUUGGGAUUUUCUGGUGUUCAUGGCAUAACAACCAGCCAGCAGUCUUCUGGCUGGACCACGUUUUACUUGCUAGCAAGGAGCAGAAGCUGUGGAAAUUGGCAUGUAGAGAUGUAAAAGGAUUUUAUACUUUUCAGCCUGGGCAGAAAAUUAUAGAGAAAAGUAGGUGGGAGUCAGAAAAACAUGAAAUGAGAAAGAAAAGCAUAAUCUGAGUGAGUUCUCUCUCUUUUUUUUUUUGUUUUCUAUGUUUAUCUUUCCACAGCUUUUUCACUGGCUCUGUUAAAAAGCAAAUAUCACUGCAAACUUCAUUUCAUUUUCUCUCAACAGAUGAAAUAAAGCUUGUUAAAAUGUUUUUCCCUUCUGUCAGGUGCAAACUCCAUGUUAGCAGGUUUGAAAACUUUCACAUGUUCAGAUAGCAAUGGAGGUUUUAACUUGGCCAACAUCAACAAACAAACCAUGAGUCCCUCACGUGUGCAAUGCUUGCAUAGAAUGAAAUUGAGUAUGAGCAUGUUUGCCAACCCUACUACAAAUGGUUUAUUUAGAAUAGUAGAAUGUGAAAAAUACAGAUUUAUUUUUAAUAGCUAGUACCAUGAUGAUUAUUGAUUUUUUCUUCCAGAUUAUUAAUUUAAAUAGCAAAAUUAUGCUACAUGUUUAAAAUAUGUCUGUAUCCUGAAAGUACUUAUUGUAAGCUUAAGCCCAGUCUUAUUUCUAAAAAGAUAAUUUGUAGGAGGUAUAAUUUUCAUUUGUAUUCAUGUAUAUUAAUAUAUUUUUUGGUGUUACACUGUUGCAUGAGGAUAGCUGUAAGGUCAGGAUAUUUAGGAAACCUCUGAAUUGAACAUUGAGCUUGUGGAUCUAAUAUUUAAGUAACUGGUUUCUGUCUACGUACUCUUUUCUCUUCCGUGGUAAGCCCUGCAGGCAAGCUCACUUCUCUAUGUUCUCAGUUGUAAAUGAGGAAAGUAGGACGAGGUAUGGAGCUGGAGGGUAAAUGGCAGAAUAGAAGACAGAGUGCCAUUCUGCGUAAGAGCACCACCUUUUGUGUUUGGCAGGCUUGGUUUUAGUCCUGAUUUUUCCAGGUCCAAGUAUAAUCUGGAGCAUUUCUCAAAUUCACUAAACCUCAGUUUCACCUUCUGUAAAACGAAGCUAUUUCAUUGAGUUAUUUUGGGUUACAUAUGUAAAAUUUACAGCCAAAUACUUAACACUCAAGUCUGUCAAGAAACAAUUCCAAAUAUUUUAUAAUAAAUAUAUAAAAAACUUUCACAAUUCAUGGAAUUUACUUCUUGAUUAGUUGCCAUGGUCUAUGGUUAUAAUGAAAUGUACUCUUGGCAGUCCUGGAUAGAGAAGCUCUUGAACCACAACCACAACCAUUACCUUGGAGAUGUCGAAACUGCCCUUUUCCCCGAGACCAUCAUUAGUGCUUUCCACGAACCUGGAUGAUAACCUCACGUUCACCUUUCAAAGCCAAGAAUAACAAGAGAAUUGAAUGUAAUGAUAAUGUUUCUUCUUAAAAUUAUGCCAAAUCCGACUUAGUUGAUGUGAGUUCUGCUUUUUAAAUUAAAGAAAGUACAAAGUCUAUUUUGUGGGUUGGCUAAAAGGGCACUGGUUAAAGAAAACAAUGGUUAUUUGUUUCUGAUGUACAAAUGAUCCACACAGACACAUCUUUAGAUGAAACCCCAAAUUCUUUACUGGUUGGGUUCUACAAAGAGUGACAGUAGUAAUUUGGUGAAGCAGCAGGGGGCAGAGGACUCUUGGUGGUAAGUUAACUUGAUUCUACUUUGAAAACUCUG